AGGAAUCUGCCUAUUAGUGGGGGACAACGUUUCGAAAGGAACGCUAAUACCGCAUACGUCCUACGGGAGAAAGCAGGGGACCUUCGGGCCUUGCGCUAAUAGAUGAGCCUAGGUCGGAUUAGCUUGUUGGUGAGGUAAUGGCUCACCAAGGCGACGAUCCGUAACUGGUCUGAGAGGAUGAUCAGUCACACUGGAACUGAGACACGGUCCAGACUCCUACGGGAGGCAGCAGUGGGGAAUAUUGGACAAUGGGCGAAAGCCUGAUCCAGCCAUGCCGCGUGUGUGAAGAAGGUCUUCGGAUUGUAAAGCACUUUAAGUUGGGAGGAAGGGUUGUAGAUUAAUACUCUGCAAUUUUGACGUUACCGACAGAAUAAGCACCGGCUAACUCUGUGCCAGCAGCCGCGGUAAUACAGAGGGUGCAAGCGCUAAUCGGAAUUACUGGGCGUAAAGCGCGCGUAGGUGGUUUGUUAAGUUGGAUGUGAAAGCCCCGGGCUCAACCUGGGAACUGCAUCCAAAACUGGCAAGCUAGAGUACGGUAGAGGGUGGUGGAAUUUCCUGU
Molecule: ribosomal RNA, 559 nt
Filed under: uncultured bacterium
Lineage: Bacteria
Description: bacterial SSU rRNA
Rfam family: Bacterial small subunit ribosomal RNA
Source: RNAcentral